CGGGGUGCACCAGGCGCGAAAACUUUACAAUGCGGGAAACCGUGAUAAGGGGACACCGAGUGCCAGCAUCAUAUGCUGGCUGUCCGGGUGUGUAAAAUACACCCGUUAGCAAGGGCCGGGCAAGACCGGUGCCAGCCGCCGCGGUAACACCGGCGGCCCGAGUGGUGAUCGUGAUUAUUGGGUCUAAAGGGUCCGUAGCCGGUUUGGUCAGUCCUCCGGGAAAUCUGACGGCUCAACCGUUAGGCUUUCGGGGGAUACUGCCAGGCUUGGAACCGGGAGAGGUAAGAGGUACUACAGGGGUAGGAGUGAAAUCUUGUAAUCCCUGUGAGACCACCUGUGGCGAAGGCGUCUUACCAGAACGGGUUCGACGGUGAGGGACGAAAGCUGGGGGCACGAACCGGAUUAGAUACCCGGGUAGUCCCAGCCGUAAACGAUGCUCGCUAGGUGUCAGGCAUGGCGCGACCGUGUCUGGUGCCGCAGGGAAGCCGUGAAGCGAGCCACCUGGGAAGUACGGCCGCAAGGCUGAAACUUAAAGGAAUUGGCGGGGGA
RNAcentral lists this ribosomal RNA (549 nucleotides) under uncultured archaeon. Its description in RNAcentral is "bacterial SSU rRNA". It matches the Rfam family "Archaeal small subunit ribosomal RNA", at positions 326 to 875 of the family's 1478-position model. The record is from RNAcentral.